CCUACGGGAGGCAGCAGUGGGGAAUAUUGGACAAUGGGGGGAACCCUGAUCCAGCCAUGCCGCGUGUGUGAAGAAGGCCCUCGGGUUGUAAAGCACUUUCAGUGAGGAAGAACGCCUGGUGGUUAAUACCCAUCAGGAAAGACAUCACUCACAGAAGAAGCACCGGCUAACUCCGUGCCAGCAGCCGCGGUAAUACGGAGGGUGCGAGCGUUAAUCGGAAUUACUGGGCGUAAAGCGCGCGUAGGUGGCUUGAUAAGCCGGUUGUGAAAGCCCCGGGCUCAACCUGGGAACGGCAUCCGGAACUGUCAAGCUAGAGUGCAGGAGAGGAGGGUAGAAUUCCCGGUGUAGCGGUGAAAUGCGUAGAGAUCGGGAGGAAUACCAGUGGCGAAGGCGGCCUUCUGGACUGACACUGACACUGAGGUGCGAAAGCGUGGGUAGCAAACAGGAUUAGAUACCCCUGUAGUC
Molecule: ribosomal RNA, 465 nt
Filed under: Vreelandella stevensii
Lineage: Bacteria; Pseudomonadati; Pseudomonadota; Gammaproteobacteria; Oceanospirillales; Halomonadaceae
Description: partial 16S ribosomal RNA
Rfam family: Bacterial small subunit ribosomal RNA
Source: RNAcentral